RNAcentral lists this small RNA (1240 nucleotides) under uncultured bacterium. RNAcentral describes it as "bacterial SSU rRNA". The stretch from base 1 to 487 matches the Rfam family "Bacterial small subunit ribosomal RNA", at positions 1045 to 1533 of the family's 1533-position model. The record is from RNAcentral.
AUGGCUGUCGUCAGCUCGUGUCGUGAGAUGUUCGGUUAAGUCCGGCAACGAGCGCAACCCACAUCCCUAGUUGCCAGCAGUUCGGCUGGGCACUCUAUGGAAACUGCCGGUGAUAAGCUGGAGGAAGGUGGGGAUGACGUCAAGUCCUCAUGGCCCUUACGGGCUGGGCUACACACGUGCUACAAUGGCGGUUACAAUGGGACGCGAAUGGGCAACCUGGAGCUAAUCCCCAAAAACCGUCUCAGUUCGGAUUGUUCUCUGCAACUCGAGAGCAUGAAGUCGGAAUCGCUAGUAAUCGUGGAUCAGCAUGCCACGGUGAAUACGUUCCCGGGCCUUGUACACACCGCCCGUCACACCAUGGGAGUUGGUUCUACCCGAAGCCGGUGCGCUAACCGCAAGGAGGCAGCCGACCACGGUAGGGUUAGCGACUGGGGUGAAGUCGUAACAAGGUAGCCGUAGGGGAACCUGCGGCUGGAUCACCUCCUUUCUAAGGAAUAUGGCGUUAGGAUACAUCUCGUGUCCCAAUUCCUGUUCACUUAACAUAGAUGCCGACAUGUCGCCGUCGGCGUAUCUCUUCCAUCACGAAUGCCGAAUGCGGGGACGGCGUACGCUCUCUCCACCAGUUGGCUACUACCAGAAUGGGCCUGUAGCUCAGCUUGGUUAGAGCGCACGCCUGAUAAGCGUGAGGUCGGUAGUUCAAGUCUACCCAGGCCCACCAUUUCGCGACCGAUGUUCGCUUAACGGUUUUGUUAGGCUGAGCCGGAGACGGGGGUGUAGCUCAGUUGGGAGAGCGCCUGCUUUGCAAGCAGGAGGUCAUCGGUUCGAUUCCGUUCACCUCCACCAAUUCUUAAAAUAUUGAUAAAGUUUUGGUGAUGAUUAAGUGGUAGACUGAGGCAUUCGUAGAGAAAAUAGGUUACUGGUUCAGUGUAGAGCCAGAAAGCCCUCGGAUAUAAUCGAGGGACGCUAUUUGUCAUUGUGAAGAAGAUUGUUCCUGGAUACGGAUCGUAAAUGUAGCUGCUUCGUUUACGGAGGAGGUACUUAAUGGUCCGUAUGCAAUUAUAUUAAAAGUUCAAUAGUGUCGUAGGUUGACCCCUACGCACGAAUUUUGUAAUCAAGCGCUGAAGGGCAUUUGGUGGAUGCCUUGGCACCAAGAGGCGAUGAAGGACGUAGCACGUUGCGAUAAGCCGUGGGGAGUUGCGAGCAAACUUUGAUCCGCGGAUUUCCGAAUGGGGAAACCCGG